This 2707-nucleotide ribosomal RNA is filed under the name human gut metagenome. RNAcentral describes it as "bacterial LSU rRNA". It matches the Rfam family "Bacterial large subunit ribosomal RNA". The record is from RNAcentral.
AGAGCGUAGAGUGAAUGCCUUGGCAUUGGGAGCCGAAGAAGGACGUGGUUAACUGCGAAAAGCUACGGGGAGUCGUAAGCAGACAUUGAUCCGUAGAUGUCCGAAUGGAGCAAUCCGCAUGGAGUUAGUCCAUGCAUCCAUAAGUGAAUUCAUAGCUUAUGGAGGGGAACCGCCUGAACUGAAACAUCUAAGUAGGGCGAGGAAGAGAAAUCAAACGAGAUUUCGUAAGUAGUGGCGAGCGAACGCGAAAGAGGCUAAACCAAGAGAAGAAAUUCUUUUGGGGUUACGGACUGCGAUAUGUAUCUGAGGACUUAGCAGAAUGGUAUGGGAAAGCCAACCAGAGAAUGUGAUAGUCAUGUAUGCGAAAAGGAAUCAGAGCUAGCAGGAUCCAAAGUACCGCGGGACACGAGGAAUCCCGUGGGAAGUCGGGGGGACCACCCUCCAAGCCUAAAUACUACCCAAUGACCGAUAGCGAAAAGUACUGUGAAGGAACGGUGAAAAGAACCCCGGGAGGGGAGUGAAAAGAACCUGAAACUCUAUGCUUACAAGCACAUAGAGCACGUCAAAGUGUGAUAUGGUACCUUUUGUAGAAUGGUCCGGCGAGUUAUUGUAUGCAGCAAGGUUAAGGUCUUCAGGACUGAAGCCGAAGCGAGAGCGAGUCUGACAAGGGCGAUAAGUUGUAUGCAAUAGACCCGAAACCGGGUGACCUAGCCAUGUUCAGGUUGAAGUGGAGGUAAAGCUCCAUGGAGGACCGAACCGACCUCCGUUGAAAAGGCGGCGGAUGAAAUGUGGCUAGCGGAGAAAUUCCAAUCGAACCCGGAAAUAGCUGGUUCUCCCCGAAAUAGCUUUAGGGCUAGCGUUGUAUUAGAUUUCUGGGGGUAAAGCACUGAAUAGGCUAGGGGCCGAGAGGUUACUGAACCUUAUCAAACUAAGAAUACCAGAAAAUUGAUGUACAGCAGUCAGACUAUGUGAGAUAAGUCUCAUAGUCAAAAGGGAAACAGCCCAGACCCACAGCUAAGGUCCCAAAACAGAUUUAAGUGGAAAAGGAUGUGGGAUUGCCCAGACAACCAGGAUGUUGGCUUAGAAGCAGCCACACAUUAAAAGAGUGCGUAAUAGCUCACUGGUCGAGUGAUCCUGCGCCGAAAAUUCAACGGGGCUAAAAUUUGUACCGAAGCUUGGGCUUGAUACUUCGUAUCAGGGGUAGGGGAGCGUCAUGUAUGAGGUGAAGUCAUAGCGGAAGCGGUGGUGGAUUGUACAUGAGAGAGAAUGCCGGAAUGAGUAGCGAGAAUUAUGUGAGAAUCAUAAUGGCCGAAAAUCUAAGGUUUCCUGAGGAAGGUUCGUCCGCUCAGGGUAAGCCGGGAGCUAAGGUGAGGCGGAAACGCGUAGCCGAUGCACAUACGGUAGAGAUUCCGUAGCCUCCGAAAAGUAAAGCACAGGGACGCUUCAGAAGUGUUACGCCGGGCGAUGGUUGCCCCGGUUGUAAAGGACACAAUUGAGUGGAAGGUAACAUGGAUGGAGACAAGAAAAGCUGUGUGUAUCUGGAAGGAGCCCGUACCGCAAACCGACACAGGUAGAUAGGAAGAAGAUUCUAAGGCCAGCGGGAGAAGGGUUGUUAAGGAACUCGGCAAGUUGACCCCGUAACUUCGGGAGAAGGGGUGCUUACGAAGGUAAGCCGCAGAGAAUAGGCCCAAGCGACUGUUUAGCAAAAACACAGCUCUAUGCUAAAUCGAAAGAUGACGUAUAUGGGGUGACACCUGCCCGGUGCUGGAAGGUUAAGAGGAGAUGUGAGAGCAUUGAAUUGAAGCCCCAGUAAACGGCGGCCGUAACUAUAACGGUCCUAAGGUAGCGAAAUUCCUUGUCAGGUAAGUUCUGACCCGCACGAAAGGUGUAACGAUUUGGGCGCUGUCUCGGCAGCAGACUCGGUGAAAUCUUAGUACCUGUGAAAAUGCAGGUUACCCGCAACUAGACGGAAAGACCCCAUGGAGCUUUACUGCAGCCUGAUAUUGAAUUCUGGUCAUACAUGUACAGGAUAGGUGGGAGACAAAGAGACGUGCACGCCAGUGUACGAGGAGUCGACGUUGGGAUACCACUCUUGUGUGACCGGGGUUCUAACCUGGUAUCGAGAACAGGUACGGGGAGAGUGUCAGGUGGGCAGUUUGACUGGGGCGGUCGCCUCCCAAAGAGUAACGGAGGCGCCCAAAGGUACGCUCAGAUUGGAUGGAAACCAAUCGUCGAGUGCAAUUGCAGAAGCGUGCUUGACUGUGAGACAGACAAGUCGAACAGGGACGAAAGUCGGGAAUAGUGAUCCGGCGGUGCCGAAUGGAAGGGCCGUCGCUCAACGGAUAAAAGCUACCCUGGGGAUAACAGGCUGAUCUCGCCCAAGAGUUCACAUCGACGGCGAGGUUUGGCACCUCGAUGUCGGCUCAUCGCAUCCUGGAGCUGGAUUCGGUUCCAAGGGUUGGGCUGUCCGCCCAUUAAAGCGGUACGCGAGCUGGGUUCAGAACGUCGUGAGACAGUUCGGUCCCUAUCUGUUGUGGGCGAAGGAGAUCUGCGGAGAGCUGUCCUCAGUACGAGAGGACCGGGAUGGACCUACCGCUGGUGCACCGGUUGUUCCGCCAGGGGCAUAGCCGGGUAGCUAAGUAGGGAAAGGAUAAGCGCUGAAAGCAUCUAAGCACGAAGCCUACUCCAAGAUGAGAUCUCCCAUUCG